ACGAACGCUGGCGGCGUGCUUAACCCAUUCAAGUCGAACGGAAAGGCCCUGCUUUUGUGGGGUGCUCGAGUGGCGAACGGGUGAGUAACACGUGAGUAACCUGCCCUUGACUUUGGGAUAACUUCAGGAAACUGGGGCUAAUACCGGAUAGGAGCUCCUGCUGCAUGGUGGGGGUUGGAAAGUUUCGGCGGUUGGGGAUGGACUCGCGGCUUAUCAGCUUGUUGGUGGGGUAGUGGCUUACCAAGGCUUUGACGGGUAGCCGGCCUGAGAGGGUGACCGGCCACAUUGGGACUGAGAUACGGCCCAGACUCCUACGGGAGGCAGCAGUGGGGAAUAUUGCACAAUGGGCGGAAGCCUGAUGCAGCAACGCCGCGUGCGGGAUGACGGCCUUCGGGUUGUAAACCGCUUUCGCCUGUGACGAAGCGUGAGUGACGGUAAUGGGUAAAGAAGCACCGGCUAACUACGUG
RNAcentral lists this ribosomal RNA (467 nucleotides) under uncultured bacterium. Its description in RNAcentral is "partial 16S ribosomal RNA". It matches the Rfam family "Bacterial small subunit ribosomal RNA", at positions 29 to 507 of the family's 1533-position model. The record is from RNAcentral.